Molecule: ribosomal RNA, 477 nt
Filed under: uncultured bacterium
Lineage: Bacteria
Description: partial 16S ribosomal RNA
Rfam family: Bacterial small subunit ribosomal RNA
Source: RNAcentral
AUUGAACGCUGGCGGCAUGCUUUACACAUGCAAGUCGAACGGUAACAGGUUAAGCUGACGAGUGGCGAACGGGUGAGUAAUGCAUCGGAACGUGCCCGAUCGUGGGGGAUAACGCAGCGAAAGCUGCGCUAAUACCGCAUACGAUCUGAGGAUGAAAGCGGGGGACCGUAAGGCCUCGCGCGAUCGGAGCGGCCGAUGUCAGAUUAGGUAGUUGGUGGGGUAAAGGCUCACCAAGCCGACGAUCUGUAGCUGGUCUGCGAGGACGACACGCCACACUGGGACUGAGACACGGCCCAGACUCCUACGGGAGGCAGCAGUGGGGAAUUUUGGACAAUGGGCGCAAGCCUGAUCCAGCAAUGCCGCGUGCAGGAAGAAGGCCUUCGGGUUGUAAACUGCUUUUGUACGGGGCGAAAAGGCUCUCUCUAAUACAGGGGGCUCAUGACGGUACCGUAAGAAUAAGCACCGGCUAACUACGUG